UACAGAGGUCCCAAGCGUUGUUCGGAUUCAUUGGGCGUAAAGGGUGUGUAGGUGGCGCCGUAAGUCGGGUGUGAAAUUUCGGAGCUUAACUCCGAACCUGCAUUCGAUACUGCGGUGCUUGAGGACUGGAGAGGAGACUGGAAUUCAUGGUGUAGCAGUGAAAUGCGUAGAGAUCAUGAGGAAGACCAGUGGCGAAGGCGGGUCUCUGGACAGUUCUGACACUGAGACACGAAGGCCAGGGGAGCAAACGGG
RNAcentral lists this ribosomal RNA (252 nucleotides) under uncultured bacterium. Its description in RNAcentral is "partial 16S ribosomal RNA". It matches the Rfam family "Bacterial small subunit ribosomal RNA", at positions 524 to 776 of the family's 1533-position model. The record is from RNAcentral.